This 616-nucleotide ribosomal RNA is filed under the name Gemella sp. GL1. RNAcentral's name for it is "bacterial SSU rRNA". It matches the Rfam family "Bacterial small subunit ribosomal RNA", at positions 1 to 597 of the family's 1533-position model. RNAcentral also lists the same sequence under 1 other name. Lineage: Bacteria; Bacillati; Bacillota; Bacilli; Caryophanales; Gemellaceae. The record is from RNAcentral.
AUUUUGGAGAGUUUGAUCCUGGCUCAGGACGAACGCUGGCGGCGUGCCUAAUACAUGCAAGUCGAGCGAAGUUUAAGAGAUGCUUGCAUCACUUGAACUUAGCGGCGAACGGGUGAGUAACACGUAAAGAACCUGCCUCAUAGACUGGGACAACUACUGGAAACGGUAGCUAAUACCGGAUAAUAUAUUUCUUUGCAUGAAGGAAUAUUGAAAGUCGGUCAAGCUGACACUAUGAGAUGGCUUUGCGGUGCAUUAGCUAGUUGGUAGGGUAAAGGCCUACCAAGGCGACGAUGCAUAGCCGACCUGAGAGGGUGAUCGGCCACACUGGGACUGAGACACGGCCCAGACUCCUACGGGAGGCAGCAGUAGGGAAUCUUCCGCAAUGGACGAAAGUCUGACGGAGCAACGCCGCGUGAGUGAAGAAGGAUUUCGGUUUGUAAAACUCUGUUGUUAGGGAAGAAUGAUUGUAUAGUAACUAUAUACAGUAAAGACGGUACCUAACCAGAAAGCCACGGCUAACUACGUGCCAGCAGCCGCGGUAAUACGUAGGUGGCAAGCGUUGUCCGGAAUUAUUGGGCGUAAAGCGCGCGCAGGUGGUUUAAUAAGUCUGAUGUGA